RNAcentral lists this long non-coding RNA (787 nucleotides) under Carica papaya (papaya). Its description in RNAcentral is "long non-coding RNA (CPAP_LNC009932)". Lineage: Eukaryota; Viridiplantae; Streptophyta; Magnoliopsida; Brassicales; Caricaceae. The record is from RNAcentral.
GCCUUUGAGCAAGGGGUGGCUUUUGUUGUUAAGAGCUUCAACAAAGAGAGGAUGAAGCAGAAUCUGCAGGUUUUGGAUUGGGAAUUAACACCGGAUGAUUACAUUAAGAUCAACAAAAUUCCUCAGCGAAGAUUACUACCUAAAUUGAAACUGAUAUCGCCUAAUGGACCCUUCAAGUCCUUGGAUGAUUUAUGGGAUGGGGAGAUUUAAUCAUGUAUAAAUUUGUUUAUCAGGCAUCAAGUAGAAGAGCAAGAGUAUGAAUUGCGUUGUUCAUGCCUGAAAUGAAUCUAAAUUAUUAUGCCAAUUUGCAUAUUCAUUUGGGUACUAUUCUCUCCCUACAAAAAGAUUCAAACAAAUCUUGUGAAUGAACUCAUUUUUUGAGUACAAGCAAUUUCUAACUCCUCUUAAUCUUCGUAAUUGGCUAAGCAUGAGGCACUAAUUAUCAGAAUUUUGAAUCGCAGAACAAACACCAUACGCAAUUAAAUUAAAUGCAGUUGAGUGAAGUCUCAAAAUACUUGCACCUUUGAACUUAUAGGAGAAAUAGAACAUAAAUGCAAAUCAUACCCAAGCCCCAACUUAACCUUCUUCCUCACACGAACCACAGUCGAACGUGGCAAAAGAGCAGAGAAGCAAAACCAUAUGGCUCCGGUGAGAAUAGUGUGUACAUGUGCAAUUCGAGCUUUCUGAGAAGAAAAAGCGGAAGCAGAGAAGCAGAAAACCCAGAGAAGAUGAGCAGAGCAAUUGUUGCUGCACAAAGCGGUAGUGUCAAAAUGCCCGACCGAGUUUG